RNAcentral lists this long non-coding RNA (285 nucleotides) under Phoenix dactylifera (date palm). Its description in RNAcentral is "long non-coding RNA (PDAC_LNC014956)". The record is from RNAcentral. Lineage: Eukaryota; Viridiplantae; Streptophyta; Magnoliopsida; Arecales; Arecaceae.
GUUUGACUGCACAUAUACAUGGUCUCUAGUCAUAUGGAUCCUUGUUGUGUAGAUUGGCUGCAGUAGGUUCACUGUAGGAGUAGGGUAUGCACUUACAUGGAAUCUAUCGACCUUGAUAGAAGAGGAGUAAUCCUAUGUGAUUUAUUAGACUGAGUUCUAAGAUCUUGGCCAGGGCAGUAAUAUAAAGUGGAAAAAGAGUUUUUCACUAUCGAACUCAAGUCAAAUAAAUCUAGACAUAUGACAGACGACGGGGUUUGACGAGUUAUCCAUGACCUCCGGUCUGUA